AACGCAUAUGGCGCCUCCAGGCCCGGCCCGGAGGCAUGUCUGUUUGAGAAUCGCUUCUCCGUAUGGCCACCUCAUUUGCAGGUGACAGCACUUGGGCUCACACCACUGUCUGCCCGGAAGCGCCGCGCCGUCGUGGGGUCACAGCCGUCUGCGACGCGCAUGCAUGCCACCGAUCUCAAAUCAGACAGGACUACCCGCCGAACUUAA
This 207-nucleotide unclassified non-coding RNA is filed under the name uncultured fungus. RNAcentral describes it as "partial internal transcribed spacer 2". The record is from RNAcentral. Lineage: Eukaryota; Fungi.